GCCCCGCCCGGGGCCCGCAGGUCCCGCCUCGCCCCGCGGCACGCCGGGAAGAGCAGUGCAGCCGGCGCCGGGGCGGGCACGCGUCGCGGCGAUGCGGAAUCGGCCGGGCUCUUUCGUGGACCUUAGGCUGAAGCAGCGCGUGAAGCAGUACCUUGCAAGCAGCAAGUGUGGCCACUAUGUGGACAUCGGGAUCCUGGCCUCCGAUUUGCAGAAAACCUACAGUACUGAAUAUGGACGAAGAAAACGGAAUGCUUUUAGAAUACAAGUUGCAAAAGUGUUUGGAAUAAUCAGCAAUGAAAAAAAAAACGAAGAUUUAACAGCAUUAGAAGCUGAACAUUUGGCAAAAAGAGCAAGGCAUGGACACAAGAGAAAUGAGACUACAGGAAGUUCCACGGAGGACUCUGAGGAUGAUGAUUAUCCAGAAGAUUUAUCUACAAAUCAUAUGAACAGUUCCCUGAUGACCUUAUACAAGAAAGGAAAUCCUGAUUCUGUUCCAGCCACUCCAAAAAAUGAACCAAUGGAAACCUGCACUCCUGUGCAAACAGCACCUCAAACAAGCACCCUUUCACCAGCAUCUCAAGUUGAAACACGCAUCUCUAAAGGUGGCUGGUUCAUUGAUAAGACUCCAUGCGGGAAAGAUUUCUUCAUUGACCUUUCCGAGGAUGGAGAAGGAGAUGAGAAGAAACUGAUUUCUGAGAAUUCAGCCGAACUUUCAGUCUUGGAAAGUGGAAAAAAGAAGACAAGGGGUAAAAGAGGAAAAAGGAAAAAAGAAUUUCCUGAUGUUGAUGAAGAAAUUGAAUCCAUCUUACUUAAAGGGAAAGUUAAAAGCAAGGGACCAGAGCUUUACCACCCAUCGGUGAAGUUUGAGGAUGUAGGAGGCAACGAUGUAACUUUGAAGGAAAUAUGCAAGAUGCUGAUUCAUGUUCGUCAUCCUGAAGUCUAUCUCCACUUAGGUGUGGUCCCACCUCGUGGUUUUCUUCUACAUGGACCACCAGGAUGUGGAAAGACACUGCUUGCACAGGCAAUUGCUGGGGAACUUGAGCUCCCUAUGCUGAAAGUGGCAGCAACAGAGAUGGUAUCUGGAGUGUCGGGAGAAUCUGAGCAGAAACUGAGAGAAUUAUUUGAUCAGGCCGUGUUCAGUGCACCGUGUGUCCUUUUCAUUGAUGAGAUAGAUGCAAUUACCCCAAAAAGAGAAGUUGCUUCAAAGGACAUGGAGCGGAGAAUUGUUGCCCAGCUCCUAACUUGUUUGGAUGACUUGAAUAACGUGGCUGCCACUGCCCAGGUCCUUGUUAUUGGAGCAACUAACAGACCUGACUCACUGGACCCUGCACUGAGGCGAGCUGGGAGAUUCGAUCGAGAAAUUUGUUUAGGGAUACCAGAUGAAGCAGCAAGAGAAAAAAUUCUUCAGACAUUGUGUCGAAAACUUAAGCUCCCGGAGUCCUUUGACUUUCAUCAUUUAGCACAUCUGACUCCAGGUUACGUAGGUGCUGAUCUGAUGGCACUUUGUCGUGAGGCAGCUAUGUGCACAGUGAACAGGGUCCUGAUAAAAUCUGAGAAGCAGCAAAGGAAAUACAUACAGGCUGGAGGAAACACAGUUGAAGGAAGCAUGGGAAUAGAAACAGAGAUCCCGGUGGAAGAGAACUCCAAACAGCUUCCUUCUAAGGAAGAAUUACAGAGACUUUUAGAUUUGCUGAAGAAGCAAGACCCCUUGCCUGAGGAGCAGCUGCAGAAGCUCUACAUUGAGAUGAAUGAUUUCAUUGUCGCACUGUCAUCAGUGCAACCCUCUGCCAAGAGAGAGGGCUUUGUCACAAUUCCUGAUGUGACAUGGGCAGAUAUUGGAGCCCUGGAGGAUGUUCGGGAGGAGCUGACCAUGGCAAUAUUGGCACCUGUGCGGAACCCAGAGCAGUUUAAAGCUCUGGGCCUGACUACUCCAGCUGGUGUUCUGCUUGCAGGGCCUCCUGGGUGUGGCAAAACGCUAUUGGCUAAGGCUGUGGCAAAUGAAUCUGGGCUGAACUUCAUAUCUGUGAAAGGUCCUGAACUGCUAAAUAUGUAUGUUGGUGAAAGCGAACGUGCUGUACGUCAAGUAUUCCAGCGUGCCAGGAAUUCAGCCCCUUGUGUUAUAUUUUUUGAUGAAGUUGAUGCUUUGUGCCCUCGGAGGUCCGACCGUGAAUCAGGAGCCAGUGUUCGAGUAGUUAACCAGUUACUCACUGAGAUGGAUGGUCUGGAGAAUCGUCAGCAGGUCUUCAUUAUGGCCGCCACAAACAGGCCAGGUGACAGUAUAGCUUGAGCAAAACUGUACAUCUUUCAAAAGGGGAGAAAGAUGAUACUGUAAUAGGACCAGGCGGCUGGAAUCUUGAUGGAGUUAAGCAAAUGUUUUUAUUUUCUCUUGCAAAGAAAAAGGCACAGCUGUGCUUCCAUGCUACUGGUUAUGUUUUUUCUUUUUCCUGUUUGCUUGCUUUUAAACAUCUAUACAGUGAGCAUCGGCAAUUUAACUUUUCCCAUUUCCCGCAUUAAUAUGCAUGAAUGCAUGUAGUUUGUCUAUUAGCUACACUUUGUCAAGAGCAUCUAAUUCUAUGGGUGUUAAUAGCUUCAUUUGAAAUCCUUGAUUGUUUUUAACUUAACAAUUAAGUGUAACUUUCAACCUUUACUUUUGGACACAUUUUUUGCUAUAGCUGCCCAUCUGUAGACCUUACAGACUUAGUUGGUUAUAUUAAAAAUACAAUUUUCUGUGUCUUUGGUGAGUGCUUCUGUGACUUUAGUAUUCCCAUUACUGUAGUAUGUAGGAUAUGGAUUUUUAGAAUCCCAUAGAAGUAGAGCAAGUAAUACCUUCAUCAUUUUUGUAGGUUGGAAAUCGGGCAUCAAGAAGCUGAGUCAUUUAGAAGCAUUAUCCAAGCAUUUCUGCUGAAAUAUGGACAGGAAUGACAGGAAUUCAGGUCUUUCCCAGAUUAUAUGCUGUUUGUGUCUCUUGUUAGACCAGCAGUGCUUAGUAUUUCUCUCCUGAUCUACUGUUUGCAGAGGUUCUGUAGCAAAACCUGUGGUGCUAAAAGGCUGCUAUAGAUUUCUAUUACGUUUAAGUUUUAAAUUGUUUUUCUAAAACAUUUGUGGUGACUUUUGGUUUCUUCUUCAGACAUGAUAAAAUCUGUAGUACUUCCUAGGAAACAAAUUCUGUACUUUGGAGGUCUCUUUUGUGUUUUCAUGGGUAUCUUAUAUUAUCAUCCAUAAAAUUACUGAAAUUAAUGUGUAGUAGAAAAUCAAACAAAAAGUAAAAUUAAGUUUACACGUGAGUAAAUAUGAUUGGCCCUAUGUACUUGUGAAUUAAUUUAUCAUGGUGGUUUUCACGCAGAUUUGCAAGGGUUAACAUAGGUAAAGUUCUUUCUAGCAGAAUAAAAUGAAAAGCAGGCUUUUUCCUUGUUCUACAUUGUUGUGAGGUUCCUCACUUGACUAUGCUAGGUCUGACAGAAGAUGUUCUUCUACUGUAUAUUCAAGAAGAAUUGUCCUUAUCUGUGACCAGGUGAAACUAGUAUUUAUGAGCCAUAUUUGACCAGAUGUAGCUUAGCUGUACUGGGUAGUAAUGUCUCUGCCCAGGAAGAGACAAAACUGUUUCAGUCAACUAUCAUAAUGCUCAGAGCUUCAUAUUGUGACAUAAAUGCUUUUUUGAAUUUCUGUACAAUUACCUCCGUAUAUUACUUCUCAUAUGUACACUUUCUUAAGGGUAUGUCUCAUUUGUGGAUUAUUUUGUCUUUUCCCCCUCCACCUAAGAUAUAAUUGACCCAGCUAUCCUGCGUCCUGGUAGACUGGAUAAAACACUCUAUGUGGGUUUGCCACCUCCUGAAGAUCGACUUGCUAUUUUAAAGACAAUCACCAAGGAGGGUACCCGGCCUCCACUAGAUACGGAUGUAAACCUUGAA
This is an RNA transcript of Numida meleagris (helmeted guineafowl), 3908 nucleotides long. It is a transcript of the gene named nuclear VCP-like, with no coding region annotated. Lineage: Eukaryota; Metazoa; Chordata; Aves; Galliformes; Numididae. The transcript has 20 exons. The record is from RefSeq and is a predicted model, not a curated record.